This 73-nucleotide transfer RNA is filed under the name Paramuricea clavata. It matches the Rfam family "tRNA". From Rfam's summary of the family: Transfer RNA (tRNA) molecules are approximately 80 nucleotides in length. Their secondary structure includes four short double-helical elements and three loops (D, anti-codon, and T loops). The record is from Rfam by way of RNAcentral. Lineage: Eukaryota; Metazoa; Cnidaria; Anthozoa; Malacalcyonacea; Plexauridae.
GACCGCGUAGCUCAGCUGGCAGAGCAUUGGGCUAGUAUUCCAAAGGUUGUAGGUUCGAUUCCCACCGUGGCCA